UAGAGCACUGUUUCGGCUAGGGGGCCAUCCCGGCUUACCAACCCGAUGCAAACUGCGAAUACCGGAGAAUGUUAUCACGGGAGACACACGGCGGGUGCUAACGUCCGUCGUGAAGAGGGAAACAACCCAGACCGCCAGCUAAGGUCCCAAAGUCAUGGUUAAGUGGGAAACGAUGUGGGAAGGCCCAGACAGCCAGGAUGUUGGCUUAGAAGCAGCCAUCAUUUAAAGAAAGCGUAAUAGCUCACUGGUCGAGUCGGCCUGCGCGGAAGAUGUAACGGGGCUAAACCAUGCACCGAAGCUGCGGCAGCGAACGUAUCACUUAAAGCGAUUCAGCGGAUGACGAUUGACGGAGC
RNAcentral lists this ribosomal RNA (353 nucleotides) under Salmonella enterica subsp. enterica serovar Kentucky. Its description in RNAcentral is "partial 23S ribosomal RNA". It matches the Rfam family "Bacterial large subunit ribosomal RNA", at positions 903 to 1228 of the family's 2925-position model. The record is from RNAcentral. Lineage: Bacteria; Pseudomonadati; Pseudomonadota; Gammaproteobacteria; Enterobacterales; Enterobacteriaceae.